AUUGAACGCUGGCGGCAUGCCUUACACAUGCAAGUCGAACGGCAGCACGGGAGCAAUCCUGGUGGCGAGUGGCGAACGGGUGAGUAAUAUAUCGGAACGUGCCCAGUCGUGGGGGAUAACGUAGCGAAAGCUACGCUAAUACCGCAUACGAUCUACGGAUGAAAGCGGGGGAUCGCAAGACCUCGCGCGAUUGGAGCGGCCGAUAUCAGAUUAGGUAGUUGGUGAGGUAAAGGCUCACCAAGCCGACGAUCUGUAGCUGGUCUGAGAGGACGACCAGCCACACUGGGACUGAGACACGGCCCAGACUCCUACGGGAGGCAGCAGUGGGAAUUUUGGACAAUGGACGCAAGUCUGAUCCAGCCAUUCCGCGUGCAGGAUGAAGGCCCUACGGGUUGUAAACUGCUUUUGUACGGAACGAAAGGUUCUAUUAAUACUAGGAGGCUCAUGACGGUA
Molecule: ribosomal RNA, 453 nt
Filed under: uncultured bacterium
Lineage: Bacteria
Description: bacterial SSU rRNA
Rfam family: Bacterial small subunit ribosomal RNA
Source: RNAcentral